AGGCAAUAGGAUUAAAGAGCAGGAAUGCAAAGAGAAUGGUACUUGCAUUGAUGUCGGGCAACCUGGUUACCAUCUCAUAAGGCUGUGAUCCCUUGUCCGAGAUAGGCACAGCACUCAACUGCCUGAGGGAGAAACUGAGAGAAGGAGAGAGCCCUGAAGACUGAGAAAGAAUGGUGGUCUUCAGUUUGUUCUUCACGUAGCAGAGACCCAUGCCUCUUGAAGCAUUGUGGGGAGAACUUGUAGAGGAAGGACUGGAUGGUGUACAUAGAGAGGCUGUACAUGAGACUCUGGGGCUGUCAGUCCUGGCAGAGAGUUCUGUGCCAACCUUGGCAGAAAUCAGCAGAGCCGUCUGAGCUUACGGGAGCAUGAGAGCUUGGACAAUGUGCACAUGGGUGAAGUCUGCUAUGGGGUGAAGACAAGAAGGAUUGGUCUAAACAACAUUAAUCAAUCUAGGUAAGUUCCCAGGGGGUUUUGCUCAACACUGGGAGGCCCAGGAUGAUGAGGACCUACACUCACAUGUAUUUUGAUUUUGGAACAAAAUGAAGUAUUGUGAUAUUUCUCACA
This is a long non-coding RNA of Myotis lucifugus (little brown bat), 564 nucleotides long. RefSeq lists it as uncharacterized. The record is from RefSeq and is a predicted model, not a curated record. The transcript has 2 exons. NCBI's taxonomy places the organism in Eukaryota, Metazoa, Chordata, Mammalia, Chiroptera, Vespertilionidae.